GGCCCAAUCCAUAGGAGCCAUUGAGGCGUGCUGCAGACCUUGCGUAUCCGUGGCCGUAGCUGCUCCAGUGUCCCGCGCCCAGAAGACCAGCCGAAAAGAUCAGCACCUUGAGCAGUACGAUGAUCAGCAAAUUGGUACAAACUAUGCACGCACUUGACUGUUGCCCGCAGAGCGGUGGAGCAGCUCCUUGGCCACCUGAACAACCACAUGGCCUGCUGGGCUAGCAAACAGGCCCUGAGCACUCCUCAGCCACGUGAGUGGACGCAGCACACUCACGCUCUGGGUGUCAUUUGCCACACUCUCCUCCAUCCCUUGCACCUGCAGUUGCACACUUGCUGCCACACUGAGGCAGCACAUUAUGGCCAGCGAAGUCAGUAGCAGCCACACUCUUCUUGUACGAUUCCACUUGAUGUGCAUUUUGUUAUUAGUAUUUGUUUUCUUUGCCUUUGGUUAAGGAUCGCGUGCUCGUUGUUGUCACCGUCGCGCACAGACUGGUCUCAAACAUGGUAAUGCAGACUGCAGGCCACGAUGAAGACCAAGACCAAGACCCAGACAUUGCAUGUUUUGCCUCGCUGCACAAUAAAACAAAGAACGAAGUUGGCAAGAAACAUUCGAAGAAACAUUAUCGAAGCAACGAGAGUGUUUCCUGAUGUCACUACCCUUAAAUUGGCGGACAUUUUUCCACACCGGAGAUUUGCCUACCUGGCUCUCGUCCCCCUCUCUAUCUCUCUCCUUUCGCUUUCUGCAAAAAUAACUCAGGUAGACGCACGCGAAAUUGUGCAUGGAGAAUAGGCUAUGAUUAAGUAAAAGUACUGUGGCUUUUGUAUCAAUCAUCAACGCAUUUAUUGUUACUUGUAUUUUAGUUUUUGGUUUGCAGUAUCCGUUGGAAUAGUUGAAAGUACAUAUUUUAUUAGUUUAUUAUGUGUAUAUAACAUAUGUAUAUUUUGUCAAUAAAUGGUUAUAAUACAAAUACAAAUGUUUUAUGUAUCCGUCAUUUCCAAUAAAUGUUCAGAAAUUUUUGCAAUUACAAACAACAUACAAGUACAUAUUCCAUA
Molecule: long non-coding RNA, 1055 nt
Organism: Drosophila sulfurigaster albostrigata
Lineage: Eukaryota; Metazoa; Arthropoda; Insecta; Diptera; Drosophilidae
Exons: 4
Source: RefSeq, a predicted model, not a curated record